GAGUUUGAUCCUGGCUCAGAACGAACGCUGGCGGCAGGCUUACACAUGCAAGUCGAACGAAUGUAGCAAUACAUUAGUGGCGCACGGGUGAGUAACGCGUGGAUAUCUGCCUUUUGGUUCGGGAUAACCUUGGGAAACUAGGGCUAAUACCGAAUGGUUCCUACGGGAUAAAGAUUUAUCGCCAAAAGAUGAGUCCGCGUCCGAUUAGCUAGUUGGUGAGGUAAUGGCUCACCAAGGCGACGAUCGGUAGCUGGUCUGAGAGGACGAUCAGCCACACUGGGACUGAGACACGGCCCAGACUCCUACGGGAGGCAGCAGUGGGGAAUAUUGGACAAUGGGGGCAACCCUGAUCCAGCCAUGCCGCGUGAGUGAUGAAGGCCUUCGGGUUGUAAAGCUCUUUUGGCGGGGACGAUGAUGACGGUACCCGCAGAAUAAGCCCCGGCUAACUUCGUGCCAGCAGCCGCGGUAAG
Molecule: ribosomal RNA, 470 nt
Filed under: uncultured bacterium
Lineage: Bacteria
Description: bacterial SSU rRNA
Rfam family: Bacterial small subunit ribosomal RNA
Source: RNAcentral